UACAAUAUAUAACAACAGAUAUGUAGAAUUCAAAGUUUGAAAAUCGCCUUAAUUGAUAUCAGUUUCAGUUACAUAUGUUUUUGGUUCGCUGGUUCUAUAUAUGAUUCCGUUUUUUGUCUAUUUUUAUGAAGAUUCACAAGAGACAAAUUGUGAUCCAACAAAAAAAAACUAGAGAAAUUGUUUAUUUUUAUAUGUGUGCUGUGCUUCUAACUGUACUUUGAUAUAUUUUCUUUAUAAUUUUGAUUCUUUAAUAGCUAUGAGAAAAUAUUUUUAAAACCGUCACUUUUAAUAAUGGACUAACUUUUGUGAGUCGAAUUUAUCUUUUUGUUCAAAAUACAAACAAAAUGAGUAGUUAAAUUCUUAAUUUUCAUUUAUUGGUUAUCAAAAGUUUCAUUUAUAUCUUUGUUUAAUGUUUUUAAGGUAUUGAACAUUUGAACCGUGUAUACAAAGAUUUAUAUCUAUUGUCAGGAAGUUGAUUCAUGAUGUGUAUUCUAUUGUAUGUUUAUGGUUUUUUGGUUUUGUAUGAUAUGUUCAUGGUCUUUUGUUCUCGUUAGGUGAUUCAUGAUGGAAGACGAAAACAACCCAUUUAGUAUUGGAUGUGUAUCGUAUUUGUACUUCUUAAAUUUUAAGUUUCUUAAACUGAAUCGAUUAUGAACAAAAAUUGCAUUUUAUUGAAAGUUUGUGUUUUAUAUUAUGAGUAUUAUGGUUUUGUUUGUAUUGUUUGACAAGAGUAAAAGGUAGAAGAAUUAGAGCGAUACUACAUGAAUUGGGUAAAUAGGUAAAUGACUGAUGAUAAUAGAAUAGGAAAAUAUGUAAAUAUUCAUUUAAUAGUUCAUUAAGGGUAAACUAGUCAUAAAUAAGAGUCAUUUUAAUGAAAAGGGAAAAUAUGUAAUAUAUAUUGGUUAGGGAGGGGAAAUAUGUAAUUGUUUUUUUGGUUUAGGGAAAUACAUAAUAAGACAACUUAAGAGGGGAAAAUAUAUAAAAGUCCCUAUAUUAUUUAUGAAUAUGAAUUGUGAGUGAAGUUGAACUUCUUUUUCUUCCAAUACAAGUAAUGUUAUUUAGUGUACUUUCUUAUCAUUGAAUGUUGAUUGUGUUAUCAACUUAUGAACAUUGCAAACAUGCGAGACAUGCUUUCUUUAGUUUUAGUUAAGUUAGUACUUUGUGUAUUGCCAUAAUUUUAUGUAUGAUAUAUGAAAGUCGAGCUCUUAUAAGUUAAACAAGCGCGGGCUUGACUCCACUCGUUUGCACCCCUAGGUAAACGGGACCAAAGGUCUGCCUUAUACAGUUAGAGAACCAUCACAAUGUUUUGAUGAAACGAGAAACCCUUCAUGAGACAGUAUCUCAGUUGACGGUUAAUACGAUUGAAUUGUUUAGCACUUUAGUGUUAGUUGCAUUUUUAGGCACGUUUAUGUAGCAUAUUAAUAAUAAAAUUUCAUCACAUAUCAUGCAUAUUUCAUAAUAAUGCCUCAUAAUUUUGAAAUACACACGUUUUUGUGGAACGGAAUCUACUUCGGUCGUUUUUAAUGAUUUUUGUAGGCGUGGAGUAAUUGCAAGUGCCGAUAACGAGUAUUGGAGGGAUCGACUGAUUAUGGAGGAAGCGAGUUAAGUUGAAUAAAUUGGAAAGAGAGAAAAAAUCGGUCGAUGGUCAAAAGUUCAUUUUAUCUCUAGUAUGUUGGGCUUAAAGUAUAUUGUCAUGGGCUAAUGGAAGUUUGGUGGAUUAGUCCACAAAAGAAAGGAAAAAA
RNAcentral lists this long non-coding RNA (1742 nucleotides) under Helianthus annuus (common sunflower). RNAcentral's name for it is "hypothetical non coding rna". The record is from RNAcentral. Lineage: Eukaryota; Viridiplantae; Streptophyta; Magnoliopsida; Asterales; Asteraceae.